Molecule: ribosomal RNA, 500 nt
Filed under: uncultured Glomeromycotina
Lineage: Eukaryota; Fungi; Glomeromycota
Description: partial small subunit ribosomal RNA
Rfam family: Eukaryotic small subunit ribosomal RNA
Source: RNAcentral
CCAAUAGCGUAUAUUAAAGUUGUUGCAGUUAAAAAGCUCGUAGUUGAAUUUCGGGAUCAAUAUAUCGGUCGUGCCAUUGGUACGUACUGGUAUCAUUGGUUUCUCCUUUCUGACGAACCAUGAUGUCAUUAAUUUGGUGUUAUGGGAAGUUAGGACUGUUACUUUGAAAAAAUUAGAGUGUUUAAAGCAGGCUUUAGCUUGAAUACAUUAGCAUGGAAUAAUGAAAUAGGACGUUCGAACCUAUUUUGUUGGUUUCUAGGAUCAACGUAAUGAUUAAUAGGGAUAGUUGGGGGAAUUAGUAUUCAAUUGUCAGAGGUGAAAUUCUUGGCUUUAUUGAAGACUAACUACUGCGAAAGCAUUUGCCAAGGAUGUUUUCAUUAAUCAAGAACGAAAGUUAGGGGAUCGAAGACGAUCAGAUACCGUCGUAGUCUUAACCAUAAACUAUGCCGACUAGGGAUCGGAUGAUGUUAAUUUUUUAAUGACUCAUUCGGCGCCUUAAG